RNAcentral lists this ribosomal RNA (1475 nucleotides) under metagenome. RNAcentral describes it as "bacterial SSU rRNA". It matches the Rfam family "Bacterial small subunit ribosomal RNA". The record is from RNAcentral.
AGAGUUUGAUCCUGGCUCAGAUUGAACGCUGGCGGCAUGCCUUACACAUGCAAGUCGAACGGUAACAGGUUAAGCUGACGAGUGGCGAACGGGUGAGUAAUAUAUCGGAACGUGCCCAGUCGUGGGGGAUAACGCAGCGAAAGCUGUGCUAAUACCGCAUACGAUCUAUGGAUGAAAGCGGGGGAUCGCAAGACCUCGCGCGAUUGGAGCGGCCGAUAUCAGAUUAGCUAGUUGGUGGGGUAAAAGCCCACCAAGGCGACGAUCUGUAGCUGGUCUGAGAGGACGACCAGCCACACUGGAACUGAGACACGGUCCAGACUCCUACGGGAGGCAGCAGUGGGGAAUUUUGGACAAUGGGCGCAAGCCUGAUCCAGCAAUGCCGCGUGCAGGACGAAGGCCUUCGGGUUGUAAACUGCUUUUGUACGGAGCGAAACGGUCUACCCUAAUACGGUGGGCUAAUGACGGUACCGUAAGAAUAAGCACCGGCUAACUACGUGCCAGCAGCCGCGGUAAUACGUAGGGUGCGAGCGUUAAUCGGAAUUACUGGGCGUAAAGCGUGCGCAGGCGGUUAUAUAAGACAGAUGUGAAAUCCCCGGGCUCAACCUGGGACCUGCAUUUGUGACUGUAUAGCUAGAGUACGGUAGAGGGGGAUGGAAUUCCGCGUGUAGCAGUGAAAUGCGUAGAUAUGCGGAGGAACACCGAUGGCGAAGGCAAUCCCCUGGACCUGUACUGACGCUCAUGCACGAAAGCGUCGGGAGCAAACAGGAUUAGAUACCCUGGUAGUCCACGCCCUAAACGAUGUCAACUGGUUGUUGGGUCUUCACUGACUCAGUAACGAAGCUAACGCGUGAAGUUGACCGCCUGGGGAGUACGGCCGCAAGGUUGAAACUCAAAGGAAUUGACGGGGACCCGCACAAGCGGUGGAUGAUGUGGUUUAAUUCGAUGCAACGCGAAAAACCUUACCCACCUUUGACAUGUACGGAACUCGCCAGAGAUGGCUUGGUGCUCGAAAGAGAGCCGUAACACAGGUGCUGCAUGGCUGUCGUCAGCUCGUGUCGUGAGAUGUUGGGUUAAGUCCCGCAACGAGCGCAACCCUUGUCAUUAGUUGCUACAUUUAGUUGGGCACUCUAAUGAGACUGCCGGUGACAAACCGGAGGAAGGUGGGGAUGACGUCAAGUCCUCAUGGCCCUUAUAGGUGGGGCUACACACGUCAUACAAUGGCUGGUACAAAGGGUUGCCAACCCGCGAGGGGGAGCUAAUCCCACAAAGCCAGUCGUAGUCCGGAUCGUAGUCUGCAACUCGACUACGUGAAGUCGGAAUCGCUAGUAAUCGUGGAUCAGAAUGUCACGGUGAAUACGUUCCCGGGUCUUGUACACACCGCCCGUCACACCAUGGGAGCGGGUUCUGCCAGAAGUAGUUAGCCUAACCGCAAGGAGGGCGAUUACCACGGCAGGGUUCGUGACUGGGGUGAAGUC